CCUACGGGGGGCAGCAGUGGGGAAUUUUGGACAAUGGGGGCAACCCUGAUCCAGCCAUGCCGCGUGUGUGAAGAAGGCCCUCGGGUUGUAAAGCACUUUCAGUGAGGAAGAACGCCUGGUGGUUAAUACCCAUCAGGAAAGACAUCACUCACAGAAGAAGCACCGGCUAACUCCGUGCCAGCAGCCGCGGUAAUACGGAGGGUGCGAGCGUUAAUCGGAAUUACUGGGCGUAAAGCGCGCGUAGGUGGCUUGAUAAGCCGGUUGUGAAAGCCCCGGGCUCAACCUGGGAACGGCAUCCGGAACUGUCAAGCUAGAGUGCAGGAGAGGAAGGUAGAAUUCCCGGUGUAGCGGUGAAAUGCGUAGAGAUCGGGAGGAAUACCAGUGGCGAAGGCGGCCUUCUGGACUGACACUGACACUGAGGUGCGAAAGCGUGGGUAGCAAACAGGAUUAGAUACCCGGGUAGUC
RNAcentral lists this ribosomal RNA (465 nucleotides) under Vreelandella stevensii. Its description in RNAcentral is "partial 16S ribosomal RNA". It matches the Rfam family "Bacterial small subunit ribosomal RNA", at positions 338 to 795 of the family's 1533-position model. The record is from RNAcentral. Lineage: Bacteria; Pseudomonadati; Pseudomonadota; Gammaproteobacteria; Oceanospirillales; Halomonadaceae.